CAGUAGCCGCGGGAAUACAGAGGGUGCGAGCGUUAAUCGGAUUUACUGGGCGUAAAGCGUGCGUAGGCGGCUUCUUAAGUCGGAUGUAAAAUCCCUGAGCUUAACUUAGGAAUUGCAUUCGAUACUGGGAAGCUAGAGUAUGGGAGAGGAUGGUAGAAUUCCAGGUGUAGCGGUGAAAUGCGUAGAGAUCUGGAGGAAUACCGAUGGCGAAGGCAGCCAUCUGGCCUAAUACUGACGCUGAGGUACGAAAGCAUGGGGAGCAAACAGGAUUAGAUACCCCUGUAGUCCCUGUCUCUUAUAA
Molecule: ribosomal RNA, 301 nt
Filed under: uncultured bacterium
Lineage: Bacteria
Description: partial 16S ribosomal RNA
Rfam family: Bacterial small subunit ribosomal RNA
Source: RNAcentral